ACCCGGUAGGUCCCUUUCUGGCGCCUCUAGUACCCGGUAGGUCCCUUUCUGGCGCCUCAAGUGCCCGGUAGGUCCCUUUCUGGCGCCUCUAGUACCCGGUAGGUCCCUUUCUGGUGCCUCUAGUGCCCGGUAGGUCCCUUUCUGGCGCCUCUAGUACCCGGUAGGUCCCUUUCUGGUGCCUCUAGUACCCGGUAGGUCCCUUUCUGGCGCCUCUAGUACCCGGUAGGUUCCUUUCUGGCGCCUCUAGUACCCGGUAGGUCCCUUUCUGGCGCCUCUAGUACCCGGUAGGUCCUUUUCUGGUGCCUCUAGUACCCGGUAGGACCCUUUCUGGCGCCUCUAGUACCCGGUAGGUUCCUUUCUGGCGCCUCUAGUACCCGGUAGGUUCCUUUCUGGCGCCUCUAGUGCCCGGUAGGUCCUUUUCUGGCGUCUCUAAUGCCCGGUAGGUCCCUUUGGCGCCUCUAGCACCCGGUAGGUCUCUGGCGCCUCUAGCACCCAGUAGGUCUCUGGCGCCUCUAGCACCCAGUAGGUCUCUGGCGCCUCUAGCACCCGGUAGGUCUCUGGCGCCUCUAGCACCCGGUAGGUCUCUGGCGCCUCUAGCACCCGGUAGGUCUCUGGCGCCUCUAGAACCCGGUAGGUCCCUUUGGCGCCUCUAGCACCCGGUAGGUCCCUUUGGCGCCUCUAGCACCCGGUAGGUCCCUUUGGCGCCUCUAGCACCCGGUAGGUCCCUUUGGCGCCUCUAGCACCCGGUAGGUCCCUUUGGCGUCUCUAGCACCCGGUAGGUCCCUUUGGCGUCUCUAGCACCCGGUAGGUCCCUUUGGCGCCACUAGCACCCGGUAGGUCAUUUUCUGGCGCCUCUAGCACCCGGUAGGUCCCUUUGGCGCCUCUAGCACCCGGUAGGUCCCUUUGGCGCCUCUAGCACCCGGUAGGUCCUUUUCUGGAGCCUCUAGCACCCGGUAGGUCUCUGGCGCCUCUAGCACCCGGUAGGUCUCUGGCGCCUCUAGCACCCGGUAGGUCUCUGGCGCCUCUAGCACCCAGUAGGUCUCUGGCGCCUCUAGCACCCGGUAGGUCUCUGGCGCCUCUAGCACCCGGUAGGUCUUUGGCGCCUCUAGCACCCGGUAGGUCUCUGGCGCCUCUAGAACCCGGUAGGUCCCUUUGGCGCCUCUAGCACCCGGUAGGUCCCUUUGGCGCCUCUAGCACCCGGUAGGUCUCUGGCGCCUCUAGAACCCGGUAGGUCCCUUUGGCGCCUCAAGCACCCGGUAGGUCCCUUUGGCGCCUCUAGCACCCGGUAGGUCUCUGGCGCCUCUAGCACCCGGUAGGUCCCUUUGGCGCCUCUAGCACCCAGUAGGUCUCUGGCGCCACUAGCACCCAGUAGGUCUCUGGCGCCUCUAGCACCCGGUAGGUCUCUGGCGCCUCUAGAACCCGGUAGGUCCCUUUGGCGCCUCUAGCACCCGGUAGGUCCCUUUGGCGCCUCUAGCACCAUGUAUGUCCCUUUGGCGCCUCUAGCACCCAGUAGGUCUCUGGCGCCUCUAGCACCCGGUAGGUCUCUGGCGCCUCUAGCACCCGGUAGGUCUCUGGCGCCUCUAGCACCCAGUAGGUCUCUGGCGCCUCUAGCACCCAGUAGGUCUCUGGCGCCUCUAGCACCCGGUAGGUCUCUGGCGCCUCUAGCACCCGGUAGGUCUCUGGCGCCUCUAGCACCCGGUAGGUCUCUGGCGCCUCUAGAACCCGGUAGGUCCCUUUGGCGCCUCUAGCACCCGGUAGGUCCCUUUGGCGCCUCUAGCACCCGGUAGGUCCCUUUGGCGCCUCUAGCACCCGGUAGGUCCUUUUCUGGCGCCUCUAGCACCCGGUAGGUCCCUUUGGCGCCUCUAGCACCCGGUAGGUCCCUUUGGCGUCUCUAGCACCCGGUAGGUCCCUUUGGCGCCACUAGCACCCGGUAGGUCCUUUUCUGGCGCCUCUAGCACCCGGUAGGUCCCUUUGGCGCCUCUAGCACCCGGUAGGUCUCUGGCGCCUCUAGCACCCGGUAGGUCUCUGGCGCCACUAGCACCCGGUAGGUCCCUUUGGCGCCUCUAGCACCCGGUAGGUCCUUUUCUGGAGCCUCUAGCACCCGGUAGGUCUCUGGCGCCUCUAGCACCCGGUAGGUCUCUGGCGCCACUAGCACCCGGUAGGUCUCUGGCGCCUCUAGCACCCGGUAGGUCCCUUUGGCGCCUCUAGCACCCGGUAGGUCCCUUUGGCGCCUCUAGCACCCGGUAGGUCCCUUUGGCGCCUCUAGCACCCGGUAGGUCCUUUUCUGGCGCCUCUAGCACCCGGUAGGUCCCUUUGGCGCCUCUAGCACCCGGUAGGUAUCUGGCGCCUCUAGCACCCGGUAGGUCCCUUUGGCGCCUCUAGCACCCGGUAGGUCUCUGGCGCCACUAGCACCCGGUAGGUCUCUGGCGCCUCUAGCACCCGGUAGAUCCCUUUGGCGCCUCUAGCACCCGGUAGGUCCCUUUGGCGCCUCUACCACCCGGUAGGUCCUUUUCUGGCGCCUCUAGCACCCAGUAGGUUCUUUUCUGGCGCCUCUAGCACCCGGUAGGUCCCUUUGGCGCCUCUAGCACCUGGUAGGUUCUUUUCUGGCGCCUCUAGCACCCGGUAGGUCCCUUUGGCGCCUCUAGCACCCAGUAGGUCUCUGGCGCCUCUAGCACCCGGUAGGUCUCUGGCGCCACUAGCACCCGGUAGGUCCUUUUGGCGCCUCUAGCACCCGGUAGGUCCCUUUGGCGUCUCUAGCACCCGGUAGGUUCUUUUCUGGCGCCUCUAGCACCCGGUAGGUCUCUGGCGCCUCUAGCACCCGGUAGGUCUCUGGCGCCUCUAGCACCCGGUAGGUCCCUUUGGCGCCUCUAGCACCCGGUAGGUCUCUGGCGCCACUAGCACCCGGUAGGUCCCUUUGGCGCCUCUAGCACCCGGUAGGUUCUUUUCUGGCGCCUCUAGCACCCGGUAGGUCUCUGGCGCCUCUAGCACCCGGUAGGUCCUUUUCUGGCGCCUCUAGCACCCGGUAGGUCCCUUUGGCGCCUCUAGCACCCGGUAGGUCUCUGGCGCCACUAGCACCCGGUAGGUCUCUGGCGCCUCUAGCACCCGGUAGGUCCCUUUGGCGCCUCUAGCACCCGGUAGGUCCCUUUGGCGCCUCUAGCACCCGGUAGGUCUCUGGCGCCUCUAGCACCCGGUAGGUCCCUUUGGCGCCUCUAGCACCCGGUAGGUCUCUGGCGCCACUAGCAUCCGGUAGGUCCCUUUGGCGCCUCUAGCACCCGGUAGGUCCCUUUGGCGUCUCUAGCACCCGGUAGGUCCCUUUGGCGCCACUAGCACCCGGUAGGUCAUUUUCUGGCGCCUCUAGCACCCGGUAGGUCCCUUUGGCGCCUCUAGCACCCGGUAGGUCCCUUUGGCGCCUCUAGCAUCAAGUAGGUCUCUGGCGCCUCUAGCACCCGGUAGGUCCCUUUGGCGCCUCUAGCACCCGGUAGGUCCUUUUCUGGCGCCUCUAGCAUCCGGUAGGUCCCUUUGGCGCCUCUAGCACCCGGUAGGUCCCUUUGGCGCCUCUAGCACCCGGUAGGUCUCUGGCGCCUCUAGCACCCAGUAGGUCUCUGGCGCCUCUAGCACCCGGUAGGUCUCUGGCGCCUCUAGCACCCGGUAGGUCCCUUUGGCGCCUCUAGCACCCGGUAGGUCUCUGGCGCCUCUAGCACCCGGUAGGUCCCUUUCUGGCGCCUCUAGCACCCGGUAGGUCUCUGGCGCCUCUAGCAUCAAGUAGGUCUCUGGCGCCUCUAGCACCCGGUAGGUCCCUUUGGCGCCUCUAGCACCCGGUAGGUCCCUUUCUGGCGCCUCUAGCACCCGGUAGGUCCCUUUGGCGCCUCUAGCACCCGGUAGGUCCCUUUGGCGCCUCUAGCACCCGGUAGGUCCCUGUGGCGCCUCUAGCACCCGGUAGGUCUCUGGCGCCUCUAGCACCCGGUAGGUCUCUGGCGCCUCUAGCACCCGGUAGGUCCCUUUGGCGCCUCUAGCACCCGGUAGGUCUCUGGCGCCUCUAGCACCCGGUAGGUCCCUUUCUGGCGCCUCUAGCACCCGGUAGGUCUCUGGCGCCUCUAGCAUCAAGUAGGUCUCUGGCGCCUCUAGCACCCGGUAGGUCCCUUUGGCGCCUCUAGCACCCGGUAGGUCCCUUUCUGGCGCCUCUAGCACCCGGCAGGUCCCUUUGGCGCUUCUAGCACCCGGUAGGUCCCUUUGGCGCCUCUAGCACUCGGUUGGUCCCUGUGGCGCCUCUAGCACCCGGUAGGUCUCUGGCGCCUCUAGCACCCGGUAGGUCUCUGGCGCCUCUAGCACCCGGUAGGUCUCUGGCGCCUCUAGCACCCGGUAGGUCUCUGGCGCCUCUAGCACCCGGUAGGUCUCUGGCGCCUCUAGCACCCGGUAGGUCCCUGUGGCGCCUCUAGCACCCGGUAGGUCUCUGGCGCCUCUAGCACCCGGUAGGUCUCUGGCGCCUCUAGCACCCGGUAGGUCUCUGGCGCCUCUAGCACCCGGUAGGCCUCUGGCGCCUCUAGCACCCGGUAGGUCUCUGGCGCCUCUAGCACCCGGUAGGUCCCUGUGGCGCCUCUAGCACCCGGUAGGUCUCUGGCGCCUCUAGCACCCGGUAGGUCUCUGGCGCCUCUAGCACCCGGUAGGUCUCUGGCGCCUCUAGCACCCGGUAGGUCUCUGGCGCCUCUAGCACCCGGUAGGUCUCUGGCGCCUCUAGCACCCGGUAGGUCCCUGUGGCGCCUCUAGCACCCGGUAGGUCUCUGGCGCCUCUAGCACCCGGUAGGUCUCUGGCGCCUCUAGCUUCCUCCAGGCAUGUCAGCUGCUGUGGAAUCCUUUACAUUUCCAGGUAGAUAUUCGACCAAUUUAAUUUUUCAGCAACAGCUUAAAAAAUAUGCAGAAAGCUAACCCUAAAGCUUGAAAUAUAUUGGUGGUGAGUUGUGCGUCUCGCGUACUGGCGACACUGGCGACACCGGCGACACUGGCGACACCGGCGACACCGGCGACACCGGCGACACCGGCGACACUGGCGACACCAGCGACACCGGGGACACCGGCGA
Non-coding RNA from Procambarus clarkii (red swamp crayfish), 5075 nucleotides. NCBI's taxonomy places the organism in Eukaryota, Metazoa, Arthropoda, Malacostraca, Decapoda, Cambaridae. The record is from RefSeq and is a predicted model, not a curated record.